GAUGAACGCUGGCGGCGUGCUUAACACAUGCAAGUCGAACGGGCUUUAUGUGAUUUAUCAUAUAGAGUUAGUGGCGGACGGGUGAGUAACACGUGAGCAACCUACCUUUUGCAGGGGAAUAACACUGGGAAACCAAUGCUAAUACCGCAUAUUGUACUUGUGAGGCAUCUUACGGGUAUGAAAGGAGCAAUCCGGCAGAAGAUGGGCUCGCGUCCGAUUAGGCAGUUGGUGGGGUAAGGGCUCACCAAACCGAGGAUCGGUAGCCGGACUGAGAGGUCGGACGGCCACAUUGGGACUGAGACACGGCCCAGACUCCUACGGGAGGCAGCAGUGGGGAAUUUGGGCAAUGGGGGGAACCCUGACCCAGCGACGCCGCGUGAAGGAAGAAGGCCUCGGGUUGUAACUUCUUUGUAGGAGGGACGAAGAUGACGGUACCGUCCAGAACAAGCCACGGCUAACUACGUGCCAGCAGCCGCGGUAAAGUAGUAGUGUACGUAGUAGACGGCGUGGCGAGGAC
RNAcentral lists this ribosomal RNA (517 nucleotides) under uncultured bacterium. RNAcentral describes it as "bacterial SSU rRNA". It matches the Rfam family "Bacterial small subunit ribosomal RNA", at positions 33 to 541 of the family's 1533-position model. The record is from RNAcentral.